Molecule: ribosomal RNA, 350 nt
Filed under: uncultured bacterium
Lineage: Bacteria
Description: bacterial SSU rRNA
Rfam family: Bacterial small subunit ribosomal RNA
Source: RNAcentral
AUUGAACGCUGGCGGCAUGCCUUACACAUGCAAGUCGAACGGCAGCGGACCUUCGGGUGCCGGCGAGUGGCGAACGGGGUGAGUAAUAUAUCGGAACGUACCUUUCAGUGGGGGAUAACGUAACGAAAGUUACGCUAAUACCGCAUAUUCUGUGAGCAGGAAAGCAGGGGAUCGCAAGACCUUGCGCUGAUUGAGCGGCCGAUAUCAGAUUAGCUAGUUGGUGAGGUAAAGGCUCACCAAGGCGACGAUCUGUAGCGGGUCUGAGAGGAUGAUCCGCCACACUGGAACUGAGACACGGUCCAGACUCCUACGGGAGGCAGCAGUGGGGAAUUUUGGACAAUGGGCGCAAG